Molecule: transfer RNA, 49 nt
Filed under: Rhodobiaceae bacterium
Lineage: Bacteria; Pseudomonadati; Pseudomonadota; Alphaproteobacteria; Hyphomicrobiales; Rhodobiaceae
Description: tRNA-Val
Source: RNAcentral
GGGGCGGUUAGCUCAGCUGGGAGAGCAUCUCGUUUACACCGAGAGGGUC